Molecule: ribosomal RNA, 913 nt
Filed under: Trametes ochracea
Lineage: Eukaryota; Fungi; Basidiomycota; Agaricomycetes; Polyporales; Polyporaceae
Description: LSU rRNA
Rfam family: Eukaryotic large subunit ribosomal RNA
Source: RNAcentral
UAGCAUAUCAAUAAGCGGAGGAAAAGAAACUAACAAGGAUUCCCCUAGUAACUGCGAGUGAAGCGGGAAAAGCUCAAAUUUAAAAUCUGGCGGUCUUUGGCCGUCCGAGUUGUAGUCUGGAGAAGCGUCUUCCGCGUUGGACCGUGUACAAGUCUCUUGGAACAGAGCGUCAUAGAGGGUGAGAAUCCCGUCUUUGACACGGACUACCAAUGCUUUGUGAUGCGCUCUCAAAGAGUCGCGUUGUUUGGGAAUGCAGCGCAAAAUGGGAGGUGAAUUCCUUCUAAAGCUAAAUAUUGGCGAGAGACCGAUAGCGAACAAGUACCGUGAGGGAAAGAUGAAAAGCACUUUGGAAAGAGAGUUAAACAGUACGUGAAAUUGCUAAAAGGGAAACGCUUGAAGUCAGUCGCGUCGUCCGGAACUCAGCUUUGCUUCGGCUUAGUGCACUUUCCGGUUGACGGGCCAGCAUCGAUUUUGACCGCUGGAAAAGGGCUGGAGGAAUGUGGCACCUUCGGGUGUGUUAUAGCCUUCAGUCGCAUACAGCGGUUGGGAUCGAGGAACGCAGCGCGCCUUAUGGCUGGGGUUCGCCCACAUUCGCGCUUAGGAUGCUGGCAUAAUGGCUUUAAACGACCCGUCUUGAAACACGGACCAAGGAGUCUAACAUGCCUGCGAGUGUUUGGGUGGAAAACCCGAGCGCGUAAUGAAAGUGAAAGUUGAGACCUCUGUCGUGGAGGGCAUCGACGCCCGGACCUGACGUUUUCUGAAGGAUCCGCGGUAGAGCAUGUAUGUUGGGACCCGAAAGAUGGUGAACUAUGCCUGAAUAGGGUGAAGCCAGAGGAAACUCUGGUGGAGGCUCGUAGCGAUUCUGACGUGCAAAUCGAUCGUCAAAUUUGGGUAUAGGGGCGAAAGACUAAUC